Molecule: long non-coding RNA, 2844 nt
Organism: Melospiza melodia melodia
Lineage: Eukaryota; Metazoa; Chordata; Aves; Passeriformes; Passerellidae
Exons: 2
Source: RefSeq, a predicted model, not a curated record
GGUAGGGUGGCCGAGGGGCUGCGGCGGACACGGCGGCUCUGGACCCGCUCCUGGCUCCGGCCAGCCACAGGCCCUGACACGUCCGAGCGGAAGGCUUACAGGUGUUUCCUCCAGGAUGUGCUCUGAAGAUGUCAGCAAAAGAGAAAGAGGGAGCUUGCUCAACCACCAGAGCAACCCUGCAGCCCACACCUAGGCAGUCCUGAACCCUCCCUUGCCUGCAAGACCCAUGUGGAGUCUCCCAGGCAGGAAAACUCCACUCAGAAGUGGAAGCACACUGAGAACUCUCUCCAGCCAGCUACAGAAUCAUCCUCAUGCCUGCUGCUGUCUUCUGAUUCAAUUACUCCUUUCAUUCGUGUGGGUGCCUUUUUUCAGCAGAGUGGAUGAGCUCCUGCAGCUGAGAUUCCCAUUCCGCAUCACUUCAUUUACAGUCAGAUGCAAGGAAAGGGAUGCUUCAAAUUCCCAGGAGCUGACUCUGGAUCAUGUCUCUUUUUAGUUUCGUGUCAGACCUCUGGGAGAUUAUAUAAAUAGCUUGUCACUAUAGGACACGAAACAACACGACACGCACACACCGCUGCUCUCAAGGUGAAAAAAAGGGAAGUUUACUUUCUGACUCUAACAUUUACAGAUUUCUAAAAGUGACAGUGGAUUGGAGGGUGAAAGUGCCAGCUCUCCAAUGACACUGGACAAACCAACAGUCUAUUAAAUUUCUCUUCUUCCAUAAAAGAAUGUAAAACAAUAAGCUAUUUACAGAAAGUGUGUGAGAAAGUUUGUUACAAGAAUGUAAACAUCGGAAGGUUUAGAAAAUCUUAACAAAUCAGGGCCACAAUAGCUAGUGCAUCUUCUCACUGCAUUUUCUAAGUUCCUAGCAGCUGGCAGCAGGUUGGAGUUGGUCAUCCUGACUGGAAAACUGCUCUUCUUCUAUCCAGAAAAGGGCAACUUGUUGUCUGACGUGGGCUUAACUUCUCCCCCUGUCCUUGCACCUCCAGCAGCUGCAGAGGCAGUUUUCUGUUUGAUUUUGAGAAUUAUGUCUUGAGAUACCUUGCUUUCUCUGCCUGCUGCAGAGUUUGAGUGCCUGAACACAUCUGGAACCCAGCAGAGUGUGAGCAGGGGAGGGCUUGUCCCAUGCUGUGAGUAUCCCACAUGGAUUGGGCUGCACUGUCUCUUAGCCCACCAAACUCUGCCCUGCAGCAACUGAGCAUGCCCCUUUCCCUUCAAGGACAUACCUCCUUGGUGUGUAUACAUAUAUAUGUAUCUCUGGUGUGUCCCUUCCCUGCAAAGAGGCCCACCAGCAUCAAGAGCAGGGCCCCGUACCCUGAAUUGCUCCUGCUUCCUGCAAAUGCCUUGUGCUAUGUCAGGAUGAAGGGCAGUUGGGAUAUUAACCUCCCACUCUGACAUCCUCCUUGUAAACAUCCUGUCCCACUCAAGUCCUGCGCUGUCACAUCCUCUCUGCUCUGCCCAGACACUAUUCUGGGUUUAGUUCUACAUGCAGAGCACACAGCUGGGCAUGCCAAAAUCCAGGCAAGCAGCAGGAGAGAACAGUAACUUGGUUCAGCUGCUGACAUAUUCUUAAAACUAAAAUCAUCUGCUUGAGCCCUCCUUGGAAAGCCAGUUUGCUUCCCUAGGCAUGUUCAGCAGCUGUACCUUACUCCAAGCAGAUGCAAGUCUGUGCAUAUGGCAUGAAGAACCUUGGUAAUAAUGGGAGCAGAAGAGAGAGCUUGGAAACUGCAGCCCAGUAAGUUUACACAAGCAGCAAGUAAAACACCCAUCCCCUGUGAGUCAGUCCUGGCUGUUUCCUUCAUUUCCUCCAAGGCUCGCUGUGAACAUCCAGCGGUAGCAGCCCUUCUGAAAUCCAGUCAUCUCCUUUCCUGCCUCUUGUUUACAGUCUCCAGCACUGCAUUUUCACUGCAGCGUGCUGAGAGAAGUGCAGACUCUCCCCUGGCCUCAGCUCAGCUUUGGUACCGCAGUGCUCUUACUGCUUUCGUGGGUGCCAGCACCUUCUUGAGCUACAGCACGUGCUGAAGUAAGAGAGGAAAAAGUGUCACAGUUGCACAAUAGUUUUCUUUUUUUUUUUAAUCUGGAACGCAGCUGUAUCAUUGACAGAGGUUCUUUAUCCCUACAGCCAUACCUUUGGAUUCAGUCUGGUAGGGUAGAAAGAAUGCAGGGGGUAUUAGGUUGUUCUAAGUGUGCAAACCAUCUCUCAGAGAUAUGGAUUGGAUCUUCCCUGCUUCAGAUUGAGGUGUAUCUCAUGAUCUGAUUUCCCCACAUGACAGCAUCUAGGGAGGGGGACUAUUUUUAGCUUUUGUUUCUUGGUUUGUUUACAGGAAGUUCUUCAUUUGUGGAAGUGAGCUUGGGUCUGUCUUAGUCUGAGAAUCUGCUUCAGUGCCAGUUGUCGAUGCAGUUAAAAGGGUGAACUGCUGCUGUUGUCUAGGAGAGGCAUCAUUUGUCCCAGGUGUUCAAAAAACUGUGGGUUUCACACAGACAAAUACUGAUUUCUGGGAUGUUUUCUGAAAUUUGUUCAAGGAGAUGUCCAGGCAGCUGUGACAGAAAAGUUUAGGAAAAUACAGAACUGGGAAAUUCUUUUGGGUAAUAUGGAUAGAAAUGCUUUUCUGUGUGAAACUAGUUAUAAAUCUACAUUGCUGCCAUAACCUGAGUUAAUGACAGUAGCUCUGAGACAAAACUCAUAUUGUCAAAGAAUGUGAACAUCCCAAGACAAGAACAGACCUAAAUGGGCUUCCCCCAUUUUCUUCUCAAGUGCCCUCUCCUGGGAAUUCCAAAUAGCCUACAGCCAACAAGUGACCUAGAUACAAUGCUGUGUCUUAUGGAAUAAAACCAGGAGCAAAAUAA